GUCCCCACCACCCUUCCCUGUUAACAUCACCCACAGUUUAUACUUUUUUUCUUAGAAAACCAACGGCUCUUUUAAGAGCCACUUCAAUAAUCAACUCACUCACUCACUCUCCUCAAAAAUGCUAGGCCAGGGGUCAACAACUAGAAAAUGUGUGGUCUGCCAUACACAACUAAAUGUAGCUUGCAAAACCUGCAACACAUGCAAGGUAGAGCAGCCACAUAAGCUUCGGGUAAAAAAGAACUGAAGAAAUUUGAUCAGAAGCGGGAGAGCUGGGUGCAUGAUGAAGAUGAAGAUAUGGAAGAUAUGCUGGCCUGGAAGAAAACCAAAUGCUUGGGGGUCUGAGGUUUUGACACCCCGUUGUCACUUGACUGAGACAUCCAUUACAUGCUUGGAAAGAUUAAAGAACCUAUUCAAGGCGGGACCUCACAAGGUGUUGCAGAACAAGUCAAUAAAACCUCAUCAGCCCGAGUUGAAUCCCCAACUGGACCACAAAUGGCCCAACCUGAUCUCCAGGUACCAGUGGCCCUGCCUCAUACCAGAGCAGCUCCAACUGGACCACCAGCAGCCCUUAUUGGACCACCAAACUCCCCAAUUUGACAGCCAGUAUCCCUUUUAGGGCCCUCAGGACACCAUGCAACCCCACUGCAUCUGGGAAAAGAAACCCAUUACCCAGAUGGACUCCCAAGAGCCUCGCCAGUUUCUCUUGGAAAAGAUGGUGUGAAAGAAGGCUUUCCAGCUCUCACUACAGUGCGGCCAGAUCAAAGGAAAGGGCCAGAAAUGGAAGCAGGUGGAGUGGGAGUCAUGCAAACUUUGAUAAAAGAAGUGGCCAUUGGAGUGGGUGGCGGAUGGGGACACUUGUUAGUGCUUCGGCAUCUUCUUGGGGACCUGAUACAAUAAGAAGCACUAUUAUUUUCUUUGUGUAACUUGUUUUUCUUUUAUGUUUUAAACAAACACUUGUUUCCUGGACCCUUUUAUUGCUCCUCCUUUCAGGUUUGCUUUUUUGCACUUUUUUGGAUAUUAAUACUGAAUACUGUUAAUACUGUUUUGCA
Paramisgurnus dabryanus is the source of this 1049-nucleotide long non-coding RNA. RefSeq lists it as uncharacterized. The record is from RefSeq and is a predicted model, not a curated record. NCBI's taxonomy places the organism in Eukaryota, Metazoa, Chordata, Actinopteri, Cypriniformes, Cobitidae.